RNAcentral lists this ribosomal RNA (493 nucleotides) under uncultured bacterium. Its description in RNAcentral is "bacterial SSU rRNA". It matches the Rfam family "Bacterial small subunit ribosomal RNA", at positions 30 to 523 of the family's 1533-position model. The record is from RNAcentral.
AUUGAACGCUGGCGGCAUGCCUUACACAUGCAAGUCGAACGGUAACGGGCCUUCGGGUGCCGACGAGUGGCGAACGGGUGAGUAAUGCAUCGGAACGUACCUUUCAGUGGGGGAUAACGUAGCGAAAGUUACGCUAAUACCGCAUAUUCUGUGAGCAGGAAAGCAGGGGAUCGCAAGACCUUGCGCUGAUUGAGCGGCCGAUGUCAGAUUAGCUAGUUGGUGAGGUAAAGGCUCACCAAGGCGACGAUCUGUAGCGGGUCUGAGAGGAUGAUCCGCCACACUGGAACUGAGACACGGUCCAGACUCCUACGGGAGGCAGCAGUGGGGAAUUUUGCGCAAUGGGCGAAAGCCUGACGCAGCAACGCCGCGUGUGUGACGAAGGCCCUAGGGUUGUAAAGCACUGUGGGAGGGGAAGAAAAAACCGGAGUGUAUCCGGUCUUGACGGUACCCUGUUAGAAAGCACCGGCUAACUCCGUGCCAGCAGCCGCGGUAA